This 1099-nucleotide ribosomal RNA is filed under the name Cronobacter muytjensii. RNAcentral describes it as "bacterial SSU rRNA". It matches the Rfam family "Bacterial small subunit ribosomal RNA", at positions 77 to 1158 of the family's 1533-position model. The record is from RNAcentral. Lineage: Bacteria; Pseudomonadati; Pseudomonadota; Gammaproteobacteria; Enterobacterales; Enterobacteriaceae.
CACUGCUGCUUUGCUGACGAGUGGCGGACGGGUGAGUAAUGUCUGGGAAACUGCCUGAUGGAGGAGGGAUAACUACUGGAAACGGUAGCUAAUACCGCAUAACGUCGCAAGACCAAAGUGGGGGACCUUCGGGCCUCAUGCCAUCAGAUGUGCCCAGAUGGGAUUAGCUAGUAGGUGGGGUAACGGCUCACCUAGGCGACGAUCCCUAGCUGGUCUGAGAGGAUGACCAGCCACACUGGAACUGAGACACGGUCCAGACUCCUACGGGAGGCAGCAGUGGGGAAUAUUGCACAAUGGGCGCAAGCCUGAUGCAGCCAUGCCGCGUGUAUGAAGAAGGCCUUCGGGUUGUAAAGUACUUUCAGCGAGGAGGAAGGGGUUAAGGUUAAUAACCUUGGCCAUUGACGUUACUCGCAGAAGAAGCACCGGCUAACUCCGUGCCAGCAGCCGCGGUAAUACGGAGGGUGCAAGCGUUAAUCGGAAUUACUGGGCGUAAAGCGCACGCAGGCGGUCUGUCAAGUCGGAUGUGAAAUCCCCGGGCUCAACCUGGGAACUGCAUCCGAAACUGGCAGGCUUGAGUCUCGUAGAGGGGGGUAGAAUUCCAGGUGUAGCGGUGAAAUGCGUAGAGAUCUGGAGGAAUACCGGUGGCGAAGGCGGCCCCCUGGACGAAGACUGACGCUCAGGUGCGAAAGCGUGGGGAGCAAACAGGAUUAGAUACCCUGGUAGUCCACGCCGUAAACGAUGUCGACUUGGAGGUUGUGCCCUUGAGGCGUGGCUUCCCGGAGCUAACGCGUUAAGUCGACCGCCCUGGGGGAGUACGGCCCGCAAGGUUAAAACUCAAUGAAUUUGACCGGGGCCCGGCAACAAGCGGUGGAGCAUGUGGUUUAAUUCGAUGCACGGCGAAGAACCUUUACCUGGGUCUUGACAUCCAAAGAAUCCUGCAAGAUGCGGGGAGUGCCUUCCGGACUUCUUGAAAAACAGUUCUGCAUGACUGUCCGUCAAGCUCGUGCUGUGGAAAAUGUUUGGGCUCAGGUCCCGCACCGAGGCGCAACUUGAUCCGUGUGUCAUGCAGUCUGGUGUACUCAACGAGAGCUGCCUGAUG